RNAcentral lists this ribosomal RNA (490 nucleotides) under uncultured bacterium. RNAcentral's name for it is "partial 16S ribosomal RNA". It matches the Rfam family "Bacterial small subunit ribosomal RNA", at positions 30 to 507 of the family's 1533-position model. The record is from RNAcentral.
AUUGAACGCUGGCGGCAGGCCUAACACAUGCAAGUCGAACGGUAACAGGAAGAAGCUUGCUUCUUUGCUGACGAGUGGCGGACGGGUGAGUAAUGUCUGGGAAACUGCCUGAUGGAGGGGGAUAACUACUGGAAACGGUAGCUAAUACCGCAUAACGUCGCAAGACCAAAGAGGGGGACCUUCGGGCCUCUUGCCAUCGGCUGUGCCCAGAUGGGAUUAGCUAGUAGGUGGGGUAACGGCUCACCUAGGCGACGAUCCCUAGCUGGUCUGAGAGGAUGACCAGCCACACUGGAACUGAGACACGGUCCAGACUCCUACGGGAGGCAGCAGUGGGGAAUAUUGCACAAUGGGCGCAAGCCUGAUGCAGCCAUGCCGCGUGUAUGAAGAAGGCCUUCGGGUUGUAAAGUACUUUCAGCGGGGAGGAAGGGAGUAAAGUUAAUACCUUUGCUCAUUGACGGUACCCGCAGAAGAAGCACCGGCUAACUCCGUG